GCCCGCACAAUCGCUCGAGCAUGUGGUUAAAAUCGAAGCAACGCGAAGAACCUUACCAGGUCUUGACAUCCUCUGACACUCCUAGAGAUAGUACGUUCCCCUUCGGGGGACAGAGUGACAGCUGGUGCAUGGUUUGUCGUCAGCUCGUGUCGUGAGAUGUUGGGUUAAGUCCCGCAACGAGCGCAACCCUUGAUGUUAGUUGCCAGCAGUUAGUUGGGCACUCUAAGGUGACUGCCGGUGACAAACCGGAGGAAGGUGGGGAUGACGUCAAAUCAUCAUGCCCCUUAUGACCUGGGCUACACACGUGCUACAAUGGAUGGUACAAAGGGCAGCAAAUCCGCGAGGCCUAGCCAAUCCCAUAAAACCAUUCUCAGUUCGGAUUGUAGGCUGCAACUCGCCUACAUGAAGCCGGAAUCGCUAGUAAUCGCGGAUCAGCAUGCCGCGGUGAUACGUUCCCGGG
RNAcentral lists this ribosomal RNA (460 nucleotides) under uncultured bacterium. RNAcentral's name for it is "bacterial SSU rRNA". It matches the Rfam family "Bacterial small subunit ribosomal RNA", at positions 919 to 1378 of the family's 1533-position model. The record is from RNAcentral.